Molecule: ribosomal RNA, 422 nt
Filed under: uncultured bacterium
Lineage: Bacteria
Description: bacterial SSU rRNA
Rfam family: Bacterial small subunit ribosomal RNA
Source: RNAcentral
UAAGGAAUAUUGGACAAUGGAGGCAACUCUGAUCCAGCCAUGCCGCGUGAAGGAAUAAGGCCCUAUGGGUUGUAAACUUCUUUUAGACGGGACAAAACCCCUUUACGUGUAAAGGGUUGAUGGUACUGUCAGAAUAAGAAUCGGCUAACUUCGUGCCAGCAGCCGCGGUAAUACGAAGGAUGCAAGCGUUAUCCGGAAUUAUUGGGUUUAAAGGGUGCGUAGGCGGACUAAUAAGUCAGUGGUGAAAGCCUGCAGCUUAACUGCAGAAUUGCCAUUGAUACUGUUAGUCUUGAGUACAGUUGAGGUAGGCGGAAUGUGUCAUGUAGCGGUGAAAGGCUUAGAUAUGACACAGAACACCGAUUGCGAAGGCAGCUUGCUAAGCUGUAACUGACGCUGAGGCACGAAAGCGUGGGGAGCAAACA